CUGGCAACCUGACCUCCCAGGGUACAGCUGAGCAGGAUAAAAGGAAGCAAGUUUCUAACAGCGCUGGUCAAAAUAUUUUUGAUAGAACAAAUAUUGCAAAUAAUUUCACAUACCAAAAAUAAUCGCUGAUUUUUCCUGAAAAUUUUUCAAAGUUCUCCCUUUAAUGCAAGGUCUAUCGUUCUUCAAUGUGUUUUUUCUGUAAAGCAAGAGGAAGGCUGGUAAAGGGUGUGACAGUAGGCUUGGCACACCAAGCCCUAGAAACAGUAUGCUCAGGAGGAAGUUCCGAUUAAGAACACUGAAAAGACCAAACAAAACAGAGCACUCCACCUUGAAAGUAACGGAAGGAUCACUUAAGCUGGAGCACCCUGAAUUGGAAAAUGUGAACUGGUGAUAACCAAAUCUACCUGCCUCAGAGAGGGCUGUGAGGAUUUAGUGGCUAUUCUUUAGGCAGCCCUCGAAUAUAGAAGACCAGAUCCUCCUUGAGGGGAAACUGUGGCAAAAAAGACUGACUUGCACAAGGUCUUGCACAGGAGAAGUCUGUGGUGGGGAAGGAAAUUGAAUCCAGGACUCCACAGGCUAGCAUCCUAUUCACUGAAAAUUAUUAUUCUGUCCGUUCAAUGCAUCAUCUCGGGAUCUGGCCGAUGAAGCACCAGGAAUUAUGAUGGUCAUUAUUACUAUCUCACUAUUGAAGUUUGUCAAGAAGAUGGCAUUGAAUCUCAGGUCCCAGAUAGGAGGCCUGGGGAGAAGGCAUUAUUUUGUGAGUGAUAAUCCCUUACAAGCUUUUUUCUCUACCCUCUUGCUUUUUUCCCUUACUCCUCAUUAGCUGCAUUAGGCAUCCUAAUCCCCAUUAUGGAAAUGAGGUGAUGAGCUAGGUGACACACCCCCUAAGCAGCAUUUUCUCUGGAGAUUUUAAAAAGGGGGAUGACACAAACUUAAAAUCCAUUGCCAGCCAAUCAGGGUAAAAACAUGA
Mauremys reevesii (Reeves's turtle) is the source of this 970-nucleotide long non-coding RNA. RefSeq lists it as uncharacterized. The transcript has 4 exons. The record is from RefSeq and is a predicted model, not a curated record. Lineage: Eukaryota; Metazoa; Chordata; Testudines; Geoemydidae.